This 76-nucleotide transfer RNA is filed under the name Candidatus Omnitrophota bacterium. RNAcentral describes it as "Candidatus Omnitrophica bacterium tRNA-Gly". It matches the Rfam family "tRNA". From Rfam's summary of the family: Transfer RNA (tRNA) molecules are approximately 80 nucleotides in length. Their secondary structure includes four short double-helical elements and three loops (D, anti-codon, and T loops). Further hydrogen bonds mediate the characteristic L-shaped molecular structure. tRNAs have two regions of fundamental functional importance: the anti-codon, which is responsible for specific mRNA codon recognition, and the 3' end, to which the tRNAs corresponding amino acid is attached (by aminoacyl-tRNA synthetases). tRNAs cope with the degeneracy of the genetic code in two manners: having more than one tRNA (with a specific anti-codon) for a particular amino acid; and 'wobble' base-pairing, i.e. permitting non-standard base-pairing at the 3rd anti-codon position. Lineage: Bacteria; Pseudomonadati; Candidatus Omnitrophota. The record is from RNAcentral. RNAcentral also lists the same sequence under 1 other name.
GCGGGUGUAGUUCAGUGGCUAGAAUGCUUCCUUGCCAAGGAAGAGGUCGGCGGUUCGAAUCCGCUCACCCGCUCCA